RNAcentral lists this unclassified non-coding RNA (887 nucleotides) under Hevea brasiliensis (rubber tree). Lineage: Eukaryota; Viridiplantae; Streptophyta; Magnoliopsida; Malpighiales; Euphorbiaceae. The record is from RNAcentral.
UUCUUGCUUUGAAAUUCUGUCUUUAUUAAAAGGAAAAUUACAAUUUGAUUUGAACUCUGAAAGUGAAAUCAUACAAUUCAAUGAACAAAUUUUAAGGUUCAAACACAAAAUUACACAAUUGCAAGUAAAUUUCACAAAAUUUUGUAGAAUUCAUCAAUUCAUUAAAUUGGGAAAUUGGAAUUUUUCCCUUCCUAAGUCAGCAGAGGCUACAUAAAGCAUCACAAAAGUAACCCAUAUGAUACAGCACAGAGCAGAAGUAAAUAAGCAGUCCAAAGAGCAAAUUACCUAUUGAACAUAUCAAAUCAAGAAUGAUCACAGAGAAUAUGCAAUGGAUCUGAUAAAACUUUCGAUGUUCCAAUUUCAUAACUCAAAACUAAAACUCACUAAAAGCCCAAAACCCACUCAAUCUCCCGAAAUACAAAAACCCUAAUCUACAUCUCACAAUAGCUUCCAGGAAAAAGGUUUUCAAACCUCAUCUUCGUGAAGAAGCAUAUUAGGAAUCCCUUUAUUCACUGGGAACCUACGACCCGUCUCAGGACAAACCAAAGCCCCCUCCUCAAGAUGAACUUCCAAAAGCGCGUGAUGAAACUUCCUCAGAAAUUCAUCCGAAUCAAGCAUCGACGAUUCUGCCUCCUCCGGUAAUUCAACGUAGCCCAUGGUUCUCGCCGCAUCGACGAGAGCCUUCCACUCGAUCUUGGAGAACAUGUUUUUGAGGAAAUCGGGGUUGAAGUCGACUUGCUUUUCCAUCACUUUCUCUACCUCGAUUCGCAGAGGGAAGCCAUUAGAGACCCCCUUGAUGUUGGAGGAUAGCAUGUUGUGAGUGAGGAGCCUCAUCUCUCUCCUUCAGCAGUAGCAACUCGGUGGAGGGAUCAUGAAAUAACACAAGG